RNAcentral lists this ribosomal RNA (498 nucleotides) under uncultured bacterium. RNAcentral describes it as "partial 16S ribosomal RNA". It matches the Rfam family "Bacterial small subunit ribosomal RNA", at positions 29 to 523 of the family's 1533-position model. The record is from RNAcentral.
AUUGAACGCUGGCGGCAUGCUUUACACAUGCAAGUCGAACGGUAACAGGCCUUCGGGCGCUGACGAGUGGCGAACGGGUGAGUAAUGCAUCGGAACGUGCCCAGUCGUGGGGGAUAACGCAGCGAAAGCUGUGCUAAUACCGCAUACGAUCUGCGGAUGAAAGCGGGGGACCUUCGGGCCUCGCGCGCUUGGAGCGGCCGAUGUCAGAUUAGGUAGUUGGGGGGGUAAAGGCUCACCAAGCCAACGAUCUGUAGCUGGUCUGAGAGGACGACCAGCCACACUGGGACUGAGACACGGCCCAGACUCCUACGGGAGGCAGCAGUGGGGAAUUUUGGACAAUGGGCGCAAGCCUGAUCCAGCAAUGCCGCGUGCAGGAAGAAGGCCUUCGGGUUGUAAACUGCUUUUGUACGGAGCGAAAAGGCUCCCUCUAAUACAGGGGGCUCAUGACGGUACCGUAAGAAUAAGCACCGGCUAACUACGUGCCAGCAGCCGCCGUAA